GAUGAACGCUGGCUACAGGCUUAACACAUGCAAGUCGAGGGGAAACGCCGGGGAAGCUUGCUUCCCCGGGCGUCGACCGGCGCACGGGUGAGUAACGCGUAUCCAACCUGCCUCUGACUGAGGGAUAACCCGUCGAAAGUCGGCCUAAUACCUCAUGGCAUCGUCUGCGGGCAUCCAACGACGAUUAAAGAUUUCAUCGGUCAGGGAUGGGGAUGCGUCUGAUUAGCUUGUUGGCGGGGUAACGGCCCACCAAGGCGACGAUCAGUAGGGGUUCUGAGAGGAAGGUCCCCCACAUUGGAACUGAGACACGGUCCAAACUCCUACGGGAGGCAGCAGUGAGGAAUAUUGGUCAAUGGGCGGGAGCCUGAACCAGCCAAGUAGCGUGCAGGAUGACGGCCCUAUGGGUUGUAAACUGCUUUUAUGCGGGGAUAAAGUGAGGGACGUGUCCCUCAUUGCAGGUACCGCAUGAAUAAGGACCGGCUAAUUCCGUG
This 491-nucleotide ribosomal RNA is filed under the name uncultured bacterium. RNAcentral's name for it is "partial 16S ribosomal RNA". It matches the Rfam family "Bacterial small subunit ribosomal RNA", at positions 28 to 507 of the family's 1533-position model. The record is from RNAcentral.